GUAAAUCUCCCCAAGGGCAGCAAUGAUGCAUGUGUUCUCAUUCACCUGGUUGAUGCACUUGAGAACAAUGUUUGUACUUCUGUCAUGGUCACGUUGUAUUCUAUGAACCCGUGGUCAUGGAUUGGUGAGGAGAGGAAUAAGGACCACAAGUUUACUAUGGGAAAUAAAAGGUUAAGCACAUCAUCAGUGUCCUGCGCCAUUUAGGUCCAUACAAAGAAGAUGUAAUGAAAGAAUUUGCACCUCAACAAGAUGGUGGAAAUGUAAAACAUUGAAAGGAAC
Molecule: long non-coding RNA, 279 nt
Organism: Lolium rigidum
Lineage: Eukaryota; Viridiplantae; Streptophyta; Magnoliopsida; Poales; Poaceae
Exons: 3
Source: RefSeq, a predicted model, not a curated record